RNAcentral lists this ribosomal RNA (468 nucleotides) under uncultured bacterium. RNAcentral describes it as "partial 16S ribosomal RNA". It matches the Rfam family "Bacterial small subunit ribosomal RNA", at positions 28 to 507 of the family's 1533-position model. The record is from RNAcentral.
GAUGAACGCUGGCGGCGUGCUUAACACAUGCAAGUCGAACGGUGAAGGCGGAGCUUGCUCUGCUGGAUCAGUGGCGAACGGGUGAGUAACACGUGAGCAAUCUGCCCCUGACUCUGGGAUAAGCGCUGGAAACGGCGUCUAAUACUGGAUACGAGCUGCGAAGGCAUCUUCAGCAGCUGGAAAGAAUUUCGGUCAGGGAUGAGCUCGCGGCCUAUCAGCUUGUUGGUGAGGUAAUGGCUCACCAAGGCGUCGACGGGUAGCCGGCCUGAGAGGGUGACCGGCCACACUGGGACUGAGACACGGCCCAGACUCCUACGGGAGGCAGCAGUGGGGAAUAGUGCACGAUGGGCGAAAGCCUGAUGCAGCAACGCCGCGUGAGGGACGACGGCCUUCGGUUUGUAAACCUCUUUUAGCAGGGAAGAAGCGAAAGUGACGGUACCUGCAGAAAAAGCGCCGGCUAACUACGUG